RNAcentral lists this signal recognition particle RNA (148 nucleotides) under Pan troglodytes (chimpanzee). RNAcentral describes it as "Metazoan signal recognition particle RNA". It matches the Rfam family "Metazoan signal recognition particle RNA". From Rfam's summary of the family: The signal recognition particle (SRP) is a universally conserved ribonucleoprotein. It is involved in the co-translational targeting of proteins to membranes. Lineage: Eukaryota; Metazoa; Chordata; Mammalia; Primates; Hominidae. The record is from Rfam by way of RNAcentral.
GCUGGGUGUGGUGGUGCACACCUGUAAUCUCAGCUACUCUGGAGGCUGAGGCACAGGAAUCACUUGAACCCAGGAGAUGGAGGUUGCAGUGAGCCACGGUCAUGCCACUGCACUCCAGCCUGGGUGACAGAGUGAGACCGUGUCUCAA